GACCCUUGGCAAUUGAUUUGAUUUAUUUUUUUUCAGUACGGAGGGAAAGUUCAUCUAACACUGCUCAGGGCUCCAGGUUCUCAGGAUUUCGGGGAUCCGGUGAAAUCAAGAUCUGGAUUUGCUGGUGGCUCUGCUCGCUCCCGGACGCAGGACAGCUCGGGUGCAGAAGGUGCCAAACUGGGAAGAAAAAUGGAUGUCCUCUGCCUUUCAAGUUGAAAUGACAUCAUUUUUUAUUUUUCUGAUGCCAGGAAUCAAACUCAGGACCUCACCCAUGCAAGGGCCCUGGUCUCCGCAUAACCGACCUCAUGGAAUGGAAUGGAGCCA
Sorex araneus (European shrew) is the source of this 324-nucleotide long non-coding RNA. RefSeq lists it as uncharacterized. The record is from RefSeq and is a predicted model, not a curated record. The transcript has 3 exons. Lineage: Eukaryota; Metazoa; Chordata; Mammalia; Eulipotyphla; Soricidae.